UGUCCAGGGGCGGGAAUCGAACCCACAACCUUCUGCUUACCGGGCAGGUGCCAUGUCCACUAGGCUACCAUGGAC
Molecule: transfer RNA, 75 nt
Filed under: Cordylochernes scorpioides
Lineage: Eukaryota; Metazoa; Arthropoda; Arachnida; Pseudoscorpiones; Chernetidae
Description: tRNA-Thr
Source: RNAcentral